AGUGCUAUGUACAUAUUAUUGUUUUUACAAAUAUGUUUCAGUUGCAUUAUUUUUUUUUCUUCAAUUAUAAGCAAAAGUUAUGGUAUCCCGAUAGCAAAUAUCAUAUAAUCAACAGUUUACCCAUAUGCCCGGAGGUAAAAAAUGAAAAGCUUUUAGAUUUUGUGAAUUUCAAAUCCAUCGUCGUGCCCCUAAUUCAAAAUUUUGAGAUUUUCAGAAUUUUAUUUCUUAAUUUGUUUUAAGAUUUAGCUAUUGCAAUGAGUGGUUAAAAUAAAAGGUUUAUAAGAUGAUACUGGGGGAAAAUCCCUGAAGUUACAAAAUUCUACUAACUUUAAACUUCCAUUUUUAUGAUACGGGAGAUUUGCAAAAGCUGAGACAUGCUGACCUAAAAUUCUGAAUGACAGCCUACUCCACAGUUCUAGUCUUUGCUCUUCACGCUAUGAUUAAAGUUGAUUUUAAGAAUUGCAUGCUGCCACAAAAGCUGACCUAAAACCCUGAAUGACAAAGCCUACUCCACAAUUCUAGUCCCUGCUCUUCAUACUACCAUUAAAGUUGAUGUAAGAAAAUUAGUGGGCAGAGAUUCUCAAGUGAAGUGAACCACAUGGAACAUAGGGUAUGUUGCUGUGGAACCCCAGCUUCCCUAACACCCAAUAACCCUUCUGAUGUUCCAGCUUGCAUGAAGUCUAAGACAUGAUGUAAGGAUCUUAAGAAAAUGAAUGGAGGGAUCUCAUUGGCAUUCUCAAAGAGUCUCUUAUUUCUGGCCAACCAUAUAUAAGAGGCAACAUAGCAGCUGGAAGAAAGCCUCCGAGUUCCAUGAAUAGAUGGAGAGAGAGAGAGAGACAACUAAAAGCCUGGCUCCAACUAAACAUAGAGAGUAGAGUGAUGGCUCACUAACUCUUUAACUCUUUGUCCACGGGUGCCAACCCAUCCGUUUGUCAACUAGGUGCCGCAAAGGAGUCGCCAAAGAGAGCACUUCGGAGCUAAGCUCACCUCCAAAGUACUACUCAGUGAUUCUCCUAUCCCACAUUCUUUCGUCGGCAACCAUUAGAUCAUGGACUACCUUCAAUCCAAAUCCUCAUCGUCAAUUAUGUAUAGACAACAUGCUAGGAACUGUAGAGAUCUAGAGGUUAUUGCUUCCAUUAAUAGUCCCCUCGUCACCGAUCAUCCAUCGAAAUCUAAAGGCAAGCAUGGAUGCAUAUGAACUAGCGCUUUCCAAAUAAGGAGCAAUUUCGGUGUUGGUUUCUUAUGUUGGCCAGACCACUCUCUAUGUUUAGCGCUCAUCAAAGGGCUCCAAAGGUUCUGAGGCUCUAAAAGAAGCUUCCUUGCAUGUUUCAUCAUCGGUGCAUGAUACAUCCAAGGCAAGGUGGCGAAUCCUUCAAGACUUGAGAAACUUCAAAGGAAAUUCCAGAUCAUCUGUUCAACCCUACUAAUUACUUCUCUCGAGAAGAAAGUAUUAGCUUUGAGGACUAGCAAUUAUCUGACAGGCCAACAUACUGUAAUCCCAACCUCAAGUCAAGAGGUUAGAGCCAACCAUUACUUGGAGAUAGCUGAACCGGAAGGAGGAUUUUAGAAAGCAGGGUGUUGGAGGAUCUUGACCUGGAGAUCUCUUGGUAGUCUGGUUGAGUGAUACAAGCAGCUCCUUCCAUAGGGAAAAUGGUUCGUUUCAUGGUUAUUGAAAAUUGAAAAUAGAGAGAUGAUGAGAGGAGAAUUUGUUUUGUAAUAUUUGAUUUUUUUUUUCUACUAUAUGAGCACUACUAUAGGUCAGAUUUGAGACCAUGUAAAGUGGGCUUAUCCUUGCACAAGCUUGGGAUAAAUGUCAAUUAGAUUUUAUUUUGGGUC
Non-coding RNA from Phoenix dactylifera (date palm), 1836 nucleotides. NCBI's taxonomy places the organism in Eukaryota, Viridiplantae, Streptophyta, Magnoliopsida, Arecales, Arecaceae. The record is from RefSeq and is a predicted model, not a curated record.